UCCUCCCCCUUUCUUCGUGCUUAACACAUGCAAGUCGAACGCUGAAGCUCAGCUUUUGUUGGGUGGAUGAGUGGCGAACGGGUGAGUAACACGUGAGUAACCUGCCUCCUUCUUUGGGAUAACGCCCGGAAACGGGUGCUAAUACUGGAUAUUCACUGGUCUUCGCAUGGGGGUUGGUGGAAAGGGUUUUUCUGGUGGGGGAUGGGCUCGCGGCCUAUCAGCUUGUUGGUGGGGUGAUGGCCUACCAAGGCUUUGACGGGUAGCCGGCCUGAGAGGGUGACCGGUCACAUUGGGACUGAGAUACGGCCCAGACUCCUACGGGAGGCAGCAGUGGGGAAUAUUGCACAAUGGGCGCAAGCCUGAUGCAGCGACGCCGCGUGAGGGAUGGAGGCCUUCGGGUUGUGAACCUCUUUCGCUCAUGGUCAAGCCGCAACAAUGGUUGUGGUGAGGGUAGUGGGUAAAGAAGCGCCGGCUAACUACGUG
This 483-nucleotide ribosomal RNA is filed under the name uncultured bacterium. Its description in RNAcentral is "partial 16S ribosomal RNA". It matches the Rfam family "Bacterial small subunit ribosomal RNA", at positions 36 to 507 of the family's 1533-position model. The record is from RNAcentral.